CACAACUCUAAAUGUCAAAAUGUCACUAACAGUACUCAUAGCUUAUGAACUAGUGAAUUCUUCCAUCUUCUGACUGUCUUUAUCUCGAUUGUGUCUUACUUUUGGACGAACACGUUUCACUGCGCUUCCACAGGGGAUCCCCCACUACUUGAAGUUGGAACUAUUGCUUCAAGAGCACCAUAAAGGUGGAAGAUCACACAGCAGAGUCCACACAAUUUUGUAACUCACAGUUCUUUUCUG
Molecule: long non-coding RNA, 240 nt
Organism: Hypanus sabinus (Atlantic stingray)
Lineage: Eukaryota; Metazoa; Chordata; Chondrichthyes; Myliobatiformes; Dasyatidae
Exons: 3
Source: RefSeq, a predicted model, not a curated record